RNAcentral lists this small nuclear RNA (175 nucleotides) under Lottia gigantea (owl limpet). Its description in RNAcentral is "U2 spliceosomal RNA". It matches the Rfam family "U2 spliceosomal RNA". Rfam says of the family: U2 is a small nuclear RNA (snRNA) component of the spliceosome (involved in pre-mRNA splicing). Complementary binding between U2 snRNA (in an area lying towards the 5' end but 3' to hairpin I) and the branchpoint sequence (BPS) of the intron results the bulging out of an unpaired adenosine, on the BPS, which initiates a nucleophilic attack at the intronic 5' splice site, thus starting the first of two transesterification reactions that mediate splicing. Lineage: Eukaryota; Metazoa; Mollusca; Gastropoda; Lottiidae. The record is from Rfam by way of RNAcentral.
AUACUUGUUUUAAUAAAAUUAUUCAAACAGAAAAAAAAAGUAUCUGUUCUGUACCCCAUCGGGGUACUUCGAUAUUAAACUGAUUUUUGGACCUAGAUGGGGUGCCCGGAGCUUGCUCCGCCCUCAUCACGGGUUGCCCUGGUAUUGCAGUACUUCCAGGCGUGGCCCACCCUCA